GAUGAACGCUUGCGACAGGCCUAACACAUGCAAGUCGAGGGGCAGCGGAGAGGUAGCAAUACCUUUGCCGGCGACCGGCGCACGGGUGAGUAACACGUAUGCAAUCCACCUGUAACAGGGGGAUAACCCGGAGAAAUCCGGACUAAUACCCCAUAAUAUGGGCGCUCCGCAUGGAGAGCCCAUUAAAGAGAGCAAUUUUGGUUACAGACGAGCAUGCGCUCCAUUAGCCAGUUGGCGGGGUAACGGCCCACCAAAGCGACGAUGGAUAGGGGUUCUGAGAGGAACGUCCCCCACAUUGGAACUGAGACACGGUCCAAACUCCUACGGGAGGCAGCAGUGAGGAAUAUUGGUCAAUGGUCGGCAGACUGAACCAGCCAAGUCGCGUGAGGGAAGACGGCCCUACGGGUUGUAAACUUCUUUUGUCGGAGAGUAAAGUACGCUACGUGUAGCGUAUUGCAAGUAUCCGAAGAAAAAGCAUCGGCUAACUCCGUGCCAGCAGCCGCGGUAAUACGGAGGAUGCGAGCGUUAUCCGGAUUUAUUGGGUUUAAAGGGUGCGUAGGCGGCACGCCAAGUCAGCGGUGAAAUUUCCGGGCUCAACCCGGAGUGUGCCGUUGAAACUGGCGAGCUAGAGUACACAAGAGGCAGGCGGAAUGCGUGGUGUAGCGGUGAAAUGCAUAGAUAUCACGCAGAACCCCGAUUGCGAAGGCAGCCUGCUAGGGUGAAACAGACGCUGAGGCACGAAAGCGUGGGUAUCAAAGAGGAUUAGAUACCCUGGUAGUCCACGCAGUAAC
This 791-nucleotide ribosomal RNA is filed under the name uncultured bacterium. Its description in RNAcentral is "bacterial SSU rRNA". It matches the Rfam family "Bacterial small subunit ribosomal RNA", at positions 28 to 806 of the family's 1533-position model. The record is from RNAcentral.